GGCUAAUACCGGAUAAUUCUUUUCUACACAUGUAGAAAAGCUGAAAGAUGGUUUCGGCUAUCACUCAUAGAUGGGCCCGCGGCGCAUUAGCUAGUUGGUGAGGUAACGGCUCACCAAGGCGACGAUGCGUAGCCGACCUGAGAGGGUGAUCGGCCACACUGGGACUGAGACACGGCCCAG
This 180-nucleotide ribosomal RNA is filed under the name uncultured Bacillus sp. RNAcentral's name for it is "partial 16S ribosomal RNA". It matches the Rfam family "Bacterial small subunit ribosomal RNA", at positions 161 to 334 of the family's 1533-position model. Lineage: Bacteria; Bacillati; Bacillota; Bacilli; Caryophanales; Bacillaceae. The record is from RNAcentral.